Musa acuminata AAA Group (dessert banana) is the source of this 4322-nucleotide RNA transcript. RefSeq lists it as uncharacterized. NCBI's taxonomy places the organism in Eukaryota, Viridiplantae, Streptophyta, Magnoliopsida, Zingiberales, Musaceae. The transcript is spliced from 12 exons. The record is from RefSeq and is a predicted model, not a curated record.
UGUUCCGUGCCGCGCUGGACAUAGAGUUUGGGAGACAAAAGUCCAACAGACGGCGACUCUCUUGUCGUCCUGUUGAACGCUGCUGGUGUACGCUUCGGACGUAGGCUGCAGGGAGAGGACUGGGAGGAUCAGGAUGACGAGGGAGCGGAGCAGAGCCGCGCCGUCGGUCAUGGAAGGGAUCAAGCACCUAACGAGAUUUGGAAAUAAACAUUCUUCAGCAACAGCAGAAUCGGCCGUGAAAUGAUUCAGGGGUGAUGUGGUGUCCAACACAGAUGCGCGCAAUGUCGACGUCAUCUCUCGCUCACGAUAUGCGGAAUUAAACACGUGGGCACAACAGUCCGAUAGUUCCAAUUCUCCCACCCGCGUCAAUCGCCAACCGCUUCCUCCUUUCAGUGGGUCCCACCCGAGAGGAGUCGCUACCUUCCUGCCCACCAACCAAGGGCCUCGAUCUCUCCUUCGUCGUGAUAUCGCAAGCUGCCACCGUUGGAUUUGCGCCCAAAACCGCACGCCGGGGUUUUAUAUUCACACCCAACCCCAUAACUCCGCGUCCUCUUUCGCGGCCAAUCUUUGUGAGAGACAGAGCGCGAGAGAGAGGGGCGCUCCGCCGAAACCCUCGUCUCGAUCUCGCGGCCCCGAUCGCCAAUACCGGAGGGUGGAAACCCGAUCGCCUCGAUCUCGUCUCGUCCCCAAUGGCAGACGAUCUGGUGGAGGCGAAAAAGCCGGAUGGCUGCGACGCCGACGCGACGGUGAUCCAGAGGAGGAUCGAGUUCCACCCUGCCCGUAAAUUCUUCUCACCAUCGUCCAAUGGGGCUUUCUAUCUUGAAACCCUGAACCCCGAUUCGGAAACUCCCAGGCCCUCGGCGUGCAAUCGGGAUCCUCCCGCGGUUUCGGCGCCGUCACUGGGGAGGAGAUCGGAUGGUGCGGAGGCCUAUGAGCAUGAAAUGGACCCCGAGCUCAGCUCUAGGAUCAGGUUUCGUAAUAUUGGUGCUGGAUUGGCCAAUCUUGGCAACACUUGUUUUCUUAAUUCAGUCCUUCAAUGCCUGACAUACACUGAGCCUUUUGCUGCAUAUCUACAAAGUGGGAAACAUCAAAUUUCUUGUCAGAUAGCUGGAUUUUGUGCAAUGUGUGCCAUUCAGAACCACGUCAUGAUUGCCCUACAGUCAACUGGAAAGAUAUUGUCACCUUCUACUCUUGUCAAGAACUUACGUUGCAUAUCUCGCAAUUUUCGUAAUUCUAGACAAGAAGAUGCACAUGAGUACAUGGUUAGCUUGCUUGAGUCCAUGCACAAAUGCUGUUUACCAUCUGGAGUCCCUAGUGAGUCCCCUACUGCUUAUGAAAAAAGUUUGGUACACAAGAUAUUUGGUGGCCGACUGAGAAGUCAGGUUAAGUGCAUGCAAUGUUCCUAUUCUUCCAAUAAAUUUGAUCCCUUCCUGGAUUUGAGUCUCGAAAUAGCAAAGGUUGAUUCUUUAUGGAAAGCACUAAAACAUUUUACUGCUGUGGAACAAUUAGAUGGAGGGGAAAGACAGUACCAGUGUCAAAACUGCAAAGAGAAAGUUAGGGCCCUCAAACAGCUCACCAUUCACAAGGCCCCUUAUGUUCUCACUAUUCAUCUUAAACGUUUUGAUUCUUUGUUUCCUGGACAGAAGAUUGACACAAAAGUGGAUUUUGAUCUCACUCUUGAUUUAAAACCUUUCAUCAGUGAUCCACAUGAAGAUGAUUUGAAAUACACCCUUUAUGGAGUUUUGGUGCAUGCUGGCUGGAGUACCGAAUCUGGUCAUUAUUAUUGUUAUGUUUGUACCUCUAGUGGCAUGUGGCAUUCUCUUGAUGAUAACCAGGUUUACCAGGUUAGUGAGAAGACUGUCCUAGAGCAGAAGGCCUACAUGCUAUUUUAUGUCCGUGAUAGGAGUUCUAUAGUAAAGAAAUCAUCAGAGAUGAUUCAAAAAGAUUGUGUUUCUACUAAUCCUCCUGGGAAGAAAUUAAUUCCUCACUCAGCCUUAGUUAUAAAGGGAGCAGUUCUAAAUUGUUUGGUGGAUGGGAAACUAAGCACCUUGGAAUCUAGUUCUGCCAUACUUAAAAGUUAUCCUAUUACUGAUUGUCAUCCUGAUUCUGGAAUAGGUUCUUCAUCGGAUUCCCAGUUACCUGGAGUAGCAUUUUUGCGAGAAAAUGACAACAACAUACAAAAUGAAAAUGUAGCUCCCCAGAGUGACAGCCAGUUGCUAGGGAGAAAAGCUGCAUUAUUGCGAGCAAAUAGUGAUAUUAUGUCAAAUGCAUUGCAGCAAGGGAAAAAAUCAGCGGAUGCAGCAUCUUCAAAAGAGUUCAUGAUGCCUGUUUCCCAGAUUAUUCAACAGAGGUUGAUUGAAGAUUCAAUCGAACCUGCACGGGACAAGGAUUUUGUUGUUAUGGUUACCCAUGCAAAUGAUGCCACUGUCACCUCUGAAAGUGAUCAAACUAACAGUGGAAAAUGUCUUCUUUCUAAUGAUUGGAAUGAAGAGGUGAAGUCAGAAGUGCUCCUCUCUGUGCCAAAUAAUGCUUCCUGCUCAGACUCUUCUCCUCAGCAACAUCAUGAGAAGAUUCUCAAGCAAAUCAAUAUGCACGAGAAUGAUGAUGUUGCAAUUGCAAUUUAUCAGAAUAAUGAUGCACUUAGCCAAAAAGGAACAAGUAACGUACCUGCAGAUAAAAAUCCUCUCAAACUUUUAAACCAGUUGGGAUUCAUGCAGAUGGCAUCACAUGAUAAAACUUCCGUGGAACAUCAGAUUGGUAAUGAGAGCAAGAGGUGCUCAACUAACACACAGUGCAAUGGGGGCUACCUUAAACUGGAGGAAUCUGGAAUGACUAAUGUAUUAAAGGGAUGUUCAAGUGGUUUUGUUGAGAAGGAAGUUCUUGACGUAAUGAAAUCCCAAACAGGACUAAAGCCAAAAAAACAUGUAAAACAUUCACUAAAUGGAAUCUAUUUUGGCCGCAAGCAACUGUUUCUUUCUUUGUUGAGUGCAGAUAAAAUCAGGAAAAGAAACAGAAGAAAAAAGCGGCUUUCAAUUAUGACAAGCUUGCAAAAAAAAGCUGUACCUGAUGAUGUUAGCUUGAAUGAUCAGGGCACAUCAACCUCUGAGAUUGUUAAAAAUGUUGUACUUUCUGAGUGUUCUGGUCGAAAGAAUUCUCGUGCUAGUUUCAAGAAAAACAGAAGUACCUGCAGUAUGAGGAAUGAUAGUUACUGUAACAGUGAAUCUUUGAAUAUAUCAACUGGAGGAAUUGGCGGGGACAAUGGUAAAGAUCGAACACAUGAUCAUCCUGAGCAAUCAAGAUGGUGUUCCAGCUCCACGGAUUAUCAGUGUAACUCAAGAGACACAAUUUUAGAUGACAAUGGGCUCCUUCAGCAUAAUAUUAUGAAACUACUCAUGAGGGGCUUGAACAAAAAAACUGUUGCCAGAUGGUAUCACCUGGAAUCACCAGAGUUCAAAGUACACGGACUUAAAAGUUCAAGAAGUAGCAGGAUUGAUUAUGUGGUGGAUGAAUGGAAUGAGGAGUACUGUCAAGGCAGGAGGAAGAAGGCAAAGAAGUCUAAAGAAUCAAAUGGUGGCCAAAACGAGUUCCAGGAGAUGACCAAUGUAAAACAACAAGAAAGAUCCAAAGUGAAGAAACAGAGGUUGCUGAGUAUUAUUCCGUUCAGGAUAUGAUGGCAAAAAUGAAAUUGCUGUUCUCUUAGUUUUUGGUAUUCUUUUUUGCCAAACGAGAACGGAGGAGAUUAUGGUGCAGAACUUCGGAAAAAGGCUGUUCAUUGCAACUCACCUUAAGGUGAAGACAGCACUUCUGUGAUUUUGCAAUAAAUGAUAGCUUUCUAUCGGGGGGUGUGCCUUGGUAUGCCGGUAAGAUUGCUCCUUUGUUACUUGAGAAAACAUGAUUUGAGGCAUAAAAACAGUCUCGCUGUAUUUAAGUGUAAAGGUGCAUAUAUUGAUCCUUCCCAAACCUCACAUCAGCGGGAGUCUCAUGCAUCGGAUACGUCCUUUUUAUGACAACUUUCUAUUGCAUCACAUCUUAAGUUAUAUGCAAGAUUAAAUCUAUAUAAUCAAGGAUGCUAUAAUUGCACAUCCAUGGAUCAAACAUUGCAUAGGGUAAGGUGACCCCUAUAGUUUCUUGCCCAUUCAACUAAUGAAAAUGCUCUUUCUAGUAUUUCUCAAAAAAUCUUUUUUAUAUGUUAUAUGUACAAAGUGAAAUAUCUCUCUAGUUUAAGAAGUAGAAGAAAAUGGUAAAUCAACUUAGAUUGAAGAAACAAUUGGCGAUCUAGAGUAACGAAGCAACUACAGAGUUUUCAGGGCUAAUUACAUAUU